This 646-nucleotide long non-coding RNA is filed under the name Rattus norvegicus (Norway rat). RNAcentral describes it as "long non-coding RNA NONRATT006009". The record is from RNAcentral. Lineage: Eukaryota; Metazoa; Chordata; Mammalia; Rodentia; Muridae.
GUUAAAGUUGACACAUGGACGAGAGGAAGGCUUUGCCAGUUCCCGUGGAGCUGAGGAAUUGGGGUUCUCCAUCAAGAACACACAAGAUGGAUUCCAUCUGCUCCUUGCACAUUUUCUUAGGCUUUCUUCUCCUUCCCACACCAGGCUCCUUUAGGAAGACUGCCUUCUGGGGAGGGUGGGGUGGAGGGGGUACCAGGCUUUGCAGAAACAUCCACCUCUGCUGUUUGGUUUGUUUCUUCUAGCAUGAUGGACACGUGACAUUUGGUGUCUGAAGCAGCUAUCAACUGCUGAGGCUGACUGUGGGCCAGGCACCAUUUUAUCUAUGAUUGUUUGCUCAGCUCCCUCAAACCCUGCAAGAGGUACAUCUGGGUGGAUGGAAAAUUACCUUUAGACACGGUGCGAUGUCCCCAUGGGCAAAGGUGCUUGCUGCUGAGUUCAACGACCUGAGUUCCAUCCCAGGAUCCACAUGACAGAAGGGGAGACCCCACUCCUGCAAGUUGUCCUCUGACCACCACACAUGCGCCACGGCAAACCCCACAAUAACUAAUGUAUUAUUGUCAUAUAUUAUUUAUAAUAUUAUCUAAUUGUACAUACUAUAGAAUGAAAAAUAAAUAAAUGUAAUGCAUUACGUUUAACACUGAAAAGA